CUACGGGGCGCUGCAGUGAGGAAUAUUGCACAAUGGGGGGAACCCUGAUGCAGCAACGCCGCGUGGAGGAUGACGCAUUUCGGUGUGUAAACUCCUUUUAUAUGUCAAGAAAAUGACGGUAGCAUAUGAAUAAGCGCCGGCUAACUCCGUGCCAGCAGCCGCGGUAAUACGGAGGGCGCAAGCGUUACUCGGAAUCACUGGGCGUAAAGGGCGCGUAGGCGGGUUGAAAAGUCAGGUGUGAAAGCCUACAGCUUAACUGUAGAACUGCACUUGAAACUCUCAAUCUAGAGUAUGGGAGGGGCAGAUGGAAUUAGUGGUGUAGGGGUAAAAUCCGUAGAUAUCACUAGGAAUACCUAAAGCGAAGGCGAUCUGCUGGAACAUUACUGACGCUAAGGCGUGAAAGCGUGGGGAGCAAACAGGAUUAGAUACCCGCGUAGUC
Molecule: ribosomal RNA, 439 nt
Filed under: uncultured bacterium
Lineage: Bacteria
Description: partial 16S ribosomal RNA
Rfam family: Bacterial small subunit ribosomal RNA
Source: RNAcentral